GUGUGUGGCCACACCACCUUAACAGUGCUCUGUUCUGAGAAGCUAAGCAGGGUUGGGCCUAGUUAGUAUUGGGAUGGGAGACUUCUAGGAAAACCAGGUGCCCCACAGA
RNAcentral lists this ribosomal RNA (109 nucleotides) under Periophthalmus magnuspinnatus. Lineage: Eukaryota; Metazoa; Chordata; Actinopteri; Gobiiformes; Gobiidae. The record is from RNAcentral.